This is a long non-coding RNA of Ipomoea nil (Japanese morning glory), 969 nucleotides long. RefSeq lists it as uncharacterized. NCBI's taxonomy places the organism in Eukaryota, Viridiplantae, Streptophyta, Magnoliopsida, Solanales, Convolvulaceae. The transcript has 8 exons. The record is from RefSeq and is a predicted model, not a curated record.
UAUCUAUUACCUCUAUGUCUCUAUAUUACUUGAUUUUUCAGAUUUGUGAUGCAAUCAUUGUUCAAGCAUCACAAAUUUGGCAAUCAUACUACCAUAAAUCUAAGCUAACAGUGAAGACGAAGGCUGCUACCAUCAUCGUUUAUAUUUCCAGGGACCAAAUGGCUUAUUUGAAGGAGGUUCAAAUGGCUUGGCACUUGAAAUGUCAAGUAAGUGUUCUUAAACUUUAAAUUAAGUUAUGCUCUACAGUGUUAAGUUUAUGCAAUCCAUCCUCAGUUACGAAAUUAUUGGAGGAGAUGGAGAGCAUAAACAGAAUCGGAAAGCAAUAGGGAUGCAAAAAUGAAGCUUCAUUUAAAGAUGGAAUAACCAAAGCUCUGGAUACAUUGAAGACAAUGAAUCAGAAAAUAAGACAUCAAUCAAAGAAACUAAAAGCAGCAUGGUGAUCUAAGCAAAUAGGAUGGAAUAACCCAAGCUCUGGUGGAAUUGUAGAGAAUCAAGCAGAAAAUAAGACAUCAAUCAAAGAAACUAAAAGCAGCAUGGGGAUCUAAGCAAAUAGUUUUUGGUGGACACCAGCAUGGACCAAAAUUGGAUUUGAGAGUUGCAAACACAGUAAAAGAAGAACUUGCAAAUAGGCACUUCAUAGACCCUUACUGCUCUCACCCGGAUUGCCCUGAGCUGGUGUUCCGGCUUGAUAUUCUUGACAGCAAUGAACAUGCUUGGCAUCUUGACAGACCAAUACUAUUUCGAAAAGGAAGUAAACUGAACUUAAUGUGUGAAGGAUUUUUGCCAUGAAGAACCAGGGUAUUUAUACAGGUUCAUAAUUCAAAUUUACCAUUGAUUUUGAGCAACAGCCAAUGUUUUGGAAUUCGCACAUCUCAUUGAAUGUGUAUUUGCAGAUUGCAACUCUGCAUAUUCCGUGUAAUAUAUAUAAUAUUCUCUUGUUAUUUACUUGCAUGUAUCUUCGAAAUUGUA